UACGAAGGGGGCUAGCGUUGUUCGGAAUUACUGGGCGUAAAGCGCGCGCAGGCGGCCGAUCAAGUCAGGGGUGAAAGCCCGGAGCUCAACUCCGGAAUUGCCUUUGAAACUGAUCGGCUUGAGUACGGGAGAGGUGAGUGGAAUUCCCAGUGUAGAGGUGAAAUUCGUAGAUAUUGGGAAGAACACCGGUGGCGAAGGCGGCUCACUGGCCCGUUUCUGACGCUCAGGCGCGACAGCGUGGGGAUCAAACAGG
This 253-nucleotide ribosomal RNA is filed under the name uncultured bacterium. RNAcentral describes it as "partial 16S ribosomal RNA". It matches the Rfam family "Bacterial small subunit ribosomal RNA", at positions 524 to 776 of the family's 1533-position model. The record is from RNAcentral.